CUGGAGCCAGAUCCAAGGUGCU
RNAcentral lists this non-coding RNA (22 nucleotides) under Arabidopsis thaliana (thale cress). Lineage: Eukaryota; Viridiplantae; Streptophyta; Magnoliopsida; Brassicales; Brassicaceae. The record is from RNAcentral.